GACGAACGCUGGCGGCGUGCUUAACACAUGCAAGUCGAACGGAAAGGCCCUGCUUUGGUGGGGUGCUCGAGGGGCGAACGGGUGAGUAACACGUGAGUAACCUGCCCUUGACUUUGGGAUAACUUCAGGAAACUGGGGCUAAUACCGGAUAGGAGCUCCUGCUGCAUGGUGGGGGUUGGAAAGUUUCGGCGGUUGGGGAUGGACUCGCGGCUUAUCAGCUUGUUGGUGGGGUAGUGGCUUACCAAGGCUUUGACGGGUAGCCGGCCUGAGAGGGUGACCGGCCACAUUGGGACUGAGAUACGGCCCAGACUCCUACGGGAGGCAGCAGUGGGGAAUAUUGCACAAUGGGAGGAAGCCUGAUGCAGCAACGCCGCGUGCGGGAUGACGGCAUUCGGGUUGUAAACCGCUUUCGCUUGUGACGAAGCGUGAGUGACGGUAAUGGGUAAAGAAGCACCGGCUAACUACGUG
This 468-nucleotide ribosomal RNA is filed under the name uncultured bacterium. RNAcentral's name for it is "partial 16S ribosomal RNA". It matches the Rfam family "Bacterial small subunit ribosomal RNA", at positions 28 to 507 of the family's 1533-position model. The record is from RNAcentral.